GCCCGCCUAGCUCAAUCGGAUAGAGCGUCAGACUCUUACGGCGGGUGUGAUCUGAAGGCUGCGAGUUCGACCCUCGCGGUGGGCU
Molecule: non-coding RNA, 85 nt
Organism: Lactifluus volemus
Lineage: Eukaryota; Fungi; Basidiomycota; Agaricomycetes; Russulales; Russulaceae
Source: the annotation of a GenBank genome assembly